CUUACUUUCAGGAACACCCUGCUCUGUCUAUGGAGUAGCUAUUCUUACAUUCCCUUAGUUUUUAAAAUAAACACGUAUUCACUUUCCUCUGUGGACUUGGUCUGAAUUCUUUCCUGCACAAGAUCCAAGAACCCUCUCUUGGGGUCUUGAUGGGGACAACUUUCUGGUAACUUCCUCCUGGUGAACCACAAAGGGACUAAUGAAGAGACCCCUGACCCAAAGGAAAUAAACUGCAACACCAAUUGGCCAACUUUGGCAGGUUUUCCGUCAUAAUGCAGCGUGCCUUAAGAACUGUCUCCUUUUUGAUGGAACUUGGCCAAUGGCAAUACAGUCUCACGGGUUUGGAAGUUUUCUUUCAACGUCAUCUGCCUCCUUUAUGGGGAAUACAGCAUGGAUCCCAGAGGACUCACCACUAGGAUGUAUUCUUGAACAUUGGGACAAGUUUAAACCAAAUGGACUUAAGAAAAGAAAGUUGGUGGUUUCAUAUAAUACUGUCUGGCCUCAAAUUACUAUACUUGGAAAAAUAAGAAAAAUGGUCAACUACCAGAACUAUGGCCUUUAAUACUAUACUUCCACUUGAUUUGUUUUGUAAGUGUGAGGGCAAAUGGGAUAAAACCAAUACGUUCAAGCAUUUUUAUUGCCCAGUCAAAAUAAAACUCUG
This 661-nucleotide long non-coding RNA is filed under the name Homo sapiens (human). Its description in RNAcentral is "HSALNT0017867". The record is from RNAcentral. Lineage: Eukaryota; Metazoa; Chordata; Mammalia; Primates; Hominidae.